This is a non-coding RNA of Camellia sinensis, 553 nucleotides long. The record is from RefSeq and is a predicted model, not a curated record. NCBI's taxonomy places the organism in Eukaryota, Viridiplantae, Streptophyta, Magnoliopsida, Ericales, Theaceae.
UUGGAUUGGUGGGGCCCGUGAGUUGCCUGUUACUUGUAUAGUUGAUAUGAUUAGGGUUCAAAUCAUGACUCAAUUGUCGGAUAGAAGAGCUGAAUCUAGAAGAUGGACUACGAAAUUGUGUCCAGUUAUGGAAAAGAAGUUGGUGGACUCUUUGGAGCUAGCUAAGUCUUGGGAUGUGAUUGUUGCUAGUGAUACUGUGCUUGAGAUUGUUUUAGAGAGUCAUACAAGGAAUCUGUUUAUCCAGUGCCUUCAAGUGAGAGAUUUGACUUUGAUGGUGCCAGUAGUUCGGUUAUCAAACCUCCUAUAAUGAAGAAGCAGCCCGAGCGGAACAAGAAGAAGAGGAUACCUUCUAGGGGUGAGAAUGUGAAGCAAAUCAAGUGUGGGAGGUGCUUGAAAUAUGGGAAUCGCAAUAAGAAGACGUGCAAGGCUGCUAUUUGAGGCCACAAUCUAUUCUUUUGGAUUUGUAUUUGAAUUUGAGGAAUUAUGAUAAUAAAAAAUGUGAUACUUGGUAUUAUGGAAGUAAUGAAUAAAGUUGGUUGAAUUGUUUUUUGUU